CUAGCAUAUCAAUAAGCGGAGGAAAAGAAACCAACAGGGAUUGCCCCAGUAACGGCGAGUGAAGCGGCAACAGCUCAAAUUUGAAAUCUGGCGUCUUCGGCGUCCGAGUUGUAAUUUGUAGAGGGUGUCUCGGGUGGAGAACCGGUCCAAGUCCCUUGGAACAGGAUAUCAUAGAGGGUGAGAAUCCCGUAUCCGGCCGGUCCCCUCCCCCGCUGUGAGACCCCUUCGACGAGUCGAGUUGUUUGGGAAUGCAGCUCUAAAUGGGUGGUAAAUUCCAUCUAAAGCUAAAUACUGGCCAGAGACCGAUAGCGCACAAGUAGAGUGAUCGAAAGAUGAAAAGCACUUUGAAAAGAGAGUCAAACAGUACGUGAAAUUGUUGAAAGGGAAGCGUAUGCGGCCAGACUUGCCCGCGGUUGCUCACCCCGUCUUCUGGCGGGUGCACUCUUCCGCGGUCAGGCCAGCAUCGGUUUGGGCGGCGGGAUAAAGGCGCUGGGAAUGUGGCCCCUCGGGGUGUUAUAGCCCGGCGUGCAAUGUCGCCAGCCCGGACCGAGGCCCGCGUUCUGCUAGGAUGCUGGCGUAAUGGCCGUAUACGGCCCGUCUUGAAACACGGACCAAGGAGUCUAACAUCUAUGCGAGUGUUUGGGUGUCAAGCCCGGGCGCGCAAUGAAAGUGAACGGAGGUGGGAGCCUCGGCGCACCAUCGACCGAUCCUGAUGUCUUCGGAAGGAUUUGAGUAAGAGCAUAGCUGAUAGGACCCGAAAGAUGGUGAACUAUGCGUGAAUAGGGUGAAGCCAGAGGAAACUCUGGUGGAGGCUCGCAGCGGUUCUGACGUGCAAAUCGAUCGUCAAAUUUGCGUAUAGGGGCGAAAGACUAAUCGAACCAUUUAGUAGCUGGUUCCUGCGAG
This 903-nucleotide ribosomal RNA is filed under the name Guizhoumyces acicularis. RNAcentral's name for it is "partial large subunit ribosomal RNA". It matches the Rfam family "Eukaryotic large subunit ribosomal RNA", at positions 34 to 964 of the family's 3401-position model. The record is from RNAcentral. Lineage: Eukaryota; Fungi; Ascomycota; Dothideomycetes; Venturiales; Sympoventuriaceae.